AAGUCACGUAAUAUUAAUACAUACCUGGGAACUCUUAUUACGGGUAAUCACGUUGAAGAUGAAACAAUCUACACUGCAGAGAUCAAACACAGAAAUAAUCACAACAACGUUAUUUUGUUGUUAGAUCUGGUGCUGCAAGUACCAGAAACUGUUCAUUUUGUAAGUGCCGAGAACAUAAACGGCAGCAAGGCGGUUGUCUGUGAGACUGCAAAUACCUUAGGAUCGUCUCGCAGUACCAUUCGCAUUCGAAUUGCACCAAGAUCCACCGCAAGAUUACGUGUGCUCGUUGGGACGCACUAAACUAUACUAAUUCCAUUAAACAAUUUUAUUUUUCCUUAACGUUCGUAAACAAUAACUUCCACAUUAUUUUAUUUUAUAUACAAAUAGAUAUAAGUAUUCUAAGUAGAAAUUAUAUUGCGCUAGAGGAUGUCGAAAAAUAAACAUAUUACUUAAA
This is a long non-coding RNA of Bombus pascuorum, 454 nucleotides long. RefSeq lists it as uncharacterized. The record is from RefSeq and is a predicted model, not a curated record. The transcript is spliced from 2 exons. NCBI's taxonomy places the organism in Eukaryota, Metazoa, Arthropoda, Insecta, Hymenoptera, Apidae.